Molecule: long non-coding RNA, 303 nt
Organism: Suricata suricatta (meerkat)
Lineage: Eukaryota; Metazoa; Chordata; Mammalia; Carnivora; Herpestidae
Exons: 3
Source: RefSeq, a predicted model, not a curated record
GUUCUGGUCUUCCAGGCUGAUGUUGGCUGCCUAAGAAGUUAUUUGAGAGCCCCUCGUUUCUUUCCUUGCUUCAAAACCCUACUGAGAUAAGGGCAACAUUUAGGGACCAAGAACCCAACCUUCCAAUGUUUCAAACCCACAGAGAUUCAAGAAAGGCUUAUAAAAGAAUUAGCAUCAGAACAGGAUUCUGAAAGCUCAAAGUCUCUGUUAUUUACACAUUUAUAACAUGCUUGAAUAUUGCCAAAUUGAGCCAUGGAUAUUUUGGGACAAAUAUUGGGGGAAGUUAUGUUCAAUACUGAUGUC